ACGGGAUGCUUAGGCAUCUAGUGGCGGACGGGUGAGUAACGCGUGAGAAUCUGGCUCCAGGUCGGGGAUAACAGUUGGAAACGACUGCUAAUACCGGAUGUGCCGAGAGGUGAAAGAUUUAUUGCCUGGAGAUGAGCUCGCGUCUGAUUAGCUAGUUGGUGGUGUAAGGGACCACCAAGGCCUCGAUCAGUAGCUGGUCUGAGAGGAUGAUCAGCCACACUGGGACUGAGACACGGCCCAGACUCCUACGGGAGGCAGCAGUGGGGAAUUUUCCGCAAUGGGCGAAAGCCUGACGGAGCAAUACCGCGUGAGGGAGGAAGGCUCUUGGGUCGUAAACCUCUUUUCUCAAGGAAGAAGAAAGUGACGGUACUUGAGGAAUAAGCAUCGGCUAACUCCGUGCCAGCAGCCGCGGUAAUACGGAGGAUGCAAGCGUUAUCCGGAAUGAUUGGGCGUAAAGGGUCUGCAGGUGGAACUGAAAGUCUGCUGUUAAAGAGUUUGGCUUAACCAAAUAAAAGCGGUGGAAACUACAGAACUAGAGUGCGGUAGGGGCAAAAGGAAUUCCUGGUGUAGCGGUGAAAUGCGUAGAUAUCAGGAAGAACACCGGUGGCGAAAGCGUUUUGCUAGACCGUAACUGACACUGAGGGACGAAAGCUAGGGGAGCGAAUGGGAUUAUAUACCCCAGUAGUCCUAGCCGUAAACGAUGGAUACUAGACGUGGC
RNAcentral lists this ribosomal RNA (718 nucleotides) under Cylindrospermopsis raciborskii QDH3. RNAcentral's name for it is "bacterial SSU rRNA". It matches the Rfam family "Bacterial small subunit ribosomal RNA", at positions 66 to 826 of the family's 1533-position model. The record is from RNAcentral. Lineage: Bacteria; Bacillati; Cyanobacteriota; Cyanophyceae; Nostocales; Aphanizomenonaceae.